CUCCUGGAUUCAGCGGCGGACGGGUGAGUAAUGCCUAGGAAUCUGCCUGGUAGUGGGGGAUAACGUCCGGAAACGGGCGCUAAUACCGCAUACGUCCUGAGGGAGAAAGUGGGGGAUCUUCGGACCUCACGCUAUCAGAUGAGCCUAGGUCGGAUUAGCUAGUUGGUGGGGUAAAGGCCUACCAAGGCGACGAUCCGUAACUGGUCUGAGAGGAUGAUCAGUCACACUGGAACUGAGACACGGUCCAGACUCCUACGGGAGGCAGCAGUGGGGAAUAUUGGACAAUGGGCGAAAGCCUGAUCCAGCCAUGCCGCGUGUGUGAAGAAGGUCUUCGGAUUGUAAAGCACUUUAAGUUGGGAGGAAGGGCAGUAAGUUAAUGCCUUGCUGUUUUGACGUUACCAACAGAAUAAGCACCGGCUAACUUCGUGCCAGCAGCCGCGGUAAUACGAAGGGUGCAAGCGUUAAUCGGAAUUACUGGGCGUAAAGCGCGCGUAGGUGGUUCAGCAAGUUGGAUGUGAAAUCCCCGGGCUCAACCUGGGAACUGCAUCCAAAACUACUGAGCUAGAGUACGGUAGAGGGUGGUGGAAUUUCCUGUGUAGCGGUGAAAUGCGUAGAUAUAGGAAGGAACACCAGUGGCGAAGGCGACCACCUGGACUGAUACUGACACUGAGGUGCGAAAGCGUGGGGAGCAAACAGGAUUAGAUANCCUGGUAGUCCACGCCGUAAACGAUGUCGACUAGCCGUUGGGAUCCUUGAGAUC
Molecule: ribosomal RNA, 760 nt
Filed under: uncultured Pseudomonadales bacterium
Lineage: Bacteria; Pseudomonadati; Pseudomonadota; Gammaproteobacteria; Pseudomonadales
Description: bacterial SSU rRNA
Rfam family: Bacterial small subunit ribosomal RNA
Source: RNAcentral